GAAGACAUGUUUUAUGUAGUAUAGAGCAAAAGACAAACAGUGCAGGUUCACUAGUGCUAGAUAACUAGUACUAGCAGUUAUCUAGUUUCUCCCUAUAAGGAGAUUGUAAUGAAUGAAUGAUUACAACAGCUAUCCAAAUCAAUGGCUUCAAUCAAUGACAAAGCAAACUUUGUCCGAAGCGUCUCCCAGAUGUUAUAAGGUGAGAAGCAUAAGGUCCAUUGCAAGGCAUUUGUCUUCAUCUUCAUGUUUAAUGUGAGUCUUCUUGUCUCUGUUUUUAGUAUAUGUCUUCCAUCCUUGAAAGUUGCGCAAUGUCAACACUAGGAGUGCAACAAUACAUGUAUCUGUAUUGAACUGUUCGAUACUUUCGGUUCGGUACGCACAUGUAGUGAACAAUACAAAAUUUUUCAUUUAUUUUAUCAACUUUUCUUCUGAUGAUGCUGUCUGUGUUGAGAGCUCAGUGGAUCUGCAUUUGACUACUCUGCCUAAGCUGCAUUGUUGAGCGCAAAUCCACUGGGCACCGCCCAUAUGCAUUCACUCAAGCUAGCGAGACAGAAGUUAAGUUCGUUGCAACAUGGCAACUGCCUCAACGCUACCCGAAAUUUAACCUCCUCCACCAUCAUUCAGAUCUGGCGUUUGGAUCUAUUUUGGUUUUCAUGUGAAGUAUGACCCUGAUGGUAAGCGCAUCAUGGACAAAAGUACAACAGUAUGUCAGAUGUGUCACGCAAUGCUCAAUUACAUCGGUGGGAACACAACGAAUAUGGCUGCACAUUUACACCGACAUCACCCUAGUGCAAAGACAAGUGGAAGCAGACAAAAACAACAACAAGCACGCAUGCUACAAACUCUACCCGAGUCAUUUAGUCAGCCGUUAACACAUGAUUAUAAGAGGGCAAAAGAAAUAGACAGGGCAAUUACAACUUUUAUUGCUGUCGACAUGCGACCCUUUUCUGUUGUAGAAAACCUACCUACCUGCUAGCACUCCAGAAAUGAGUGUGAGGGGAGGUCCAUCAGAGAGUGGUUCAUUUUAUGGGGCCUGAUAUGUUUAAUAUGCUGCUGAGAAUAUACCCAGAAGAAGGGUAUAGUAUAGCUUUUAUUUUGGAAAGAGACAUUUCUCUGUAGUAAACUCUCUUUUCCACAUAUGAGUGAUUUCUCGAUCAGAUAGAUUUUUUUUAAUUAUUAUUAUAUUGUUAUUUCAGGCUGGCAAAACCCCAUCACCACCUCCUCGUGGUGCCAGCUGGGAACAACGACCCAUUGAGAAGCUGGCCAACAGUGUGGGUCAUUGACGUCAGGGGGAGCGACGCGCCGGUCAACGUAGUCUUCAGUCGCGCCAAAUGCAAUGCCAACCCAAAAUUUGGAAACAAAUACUAGGGGGUCUCCCAGAGGCGAUGCGUGUCGUCCUCGCCCAAACGACGUGAGAAGAGGACGAGGGCUACCUGCCAGUGGACAAGUCAGGCCACAGAAGCUAGUCCAGUUACUAUGUCUCAGUACUAUGAACAUAGGUACAUUAAGCGAAUGAAGCCGCGAACUAGCCGACACUCUCAAGAACCGCCACAUCGACAUCGCGUGCAUUCAAGAAACGAAAUGGAAAGGGGAAAAGGGAAGGGACAUUGAAGAAGGAUUCAAGCUCUUCUACAAUGGCAAUCGGGCUCAGAACGGAGUGGGCAUAGCGGUGAGCCAGAAGCUCCGGGACAGUGUGGUUGAAGUGACCCGCAUAUCGGAUCGUCUUAUGUCACUUAAGAUCGACACUGAUAUGAGACGGAUAUGUGCGAUUCCAUGGCGGCCAAGGAUUCGGGACCCGAAAUGACGAUGGAUGCCGUGUUGUGGACUGCGCAGAGGCAAACGAUCUCGCCGUGGCCAACACUUUUGAAAGAGGCCAGCGCACCUCAUUACGUAUUCUAGUGGCAGCAGGAACCCAAAUCGACUACUGGCUAAUCCGAAGACCCCAUCUGAACCUGGUCACCAACGUGAAGGUCAUCCCGUCAACAAACAUCAGCCCUCAGCAUCGGCUACUUGUGAUGGACCUACGACCCAACCUUGGCCAGCAACGACGACCACCGAUCCCUUCAGUAGAGAAAACUAAAUGGUAGCGCCUUCACGAGCGCAAAAGCCAGCUAGUGGAUGCACUUGGGCACUUCGGCGUGGACCCCAGUGGACCAGUAGACACCAUCUGGGAUAACAUCGCCAGUCAGAUAUACGAUGCGGCAGGCAGCGCCCUUGGGAAGACGAAGCCGGAGAGGCACUUCAUCGACAAGCAAGUGUGACGGUGGAACGACAGUGUGCAGCAAACAAUCAGAAAGAAGACAGCAUUCAAAAUGUGGCUUCAGUCUCGCAACGAUGGCGACUAUCAACACUAUAGGGCCCUUCGAUCGGCCACGAAGAAGGCAGUAGUAGCGGCAAAGGCAUCACACUAUGACCAACUAUACAAAGAACUGGACAUGCCCGGGGGAGCGAACAAAAUCUACCGCCUCACCAGAAACCACCAUCGAGCAACGCAGGACAUCGGCCAGGUCAAACACAUCAAGGAUCCCAACCAUCAGAUCCUCCGCGACCCGCCCACCAUCCUCGAACGUUGGAGCCAGUAUUUCUCAAUUACCACCCGAUCCGACUCCUGUGCCACACCAUGAAGAUAUUCGAGCGGAUCAUUGACGCCAGGCUGCAGGAAAUCGUCACAAUAACACCCAACUAGUGUGGCUUCGUCAAAGGAUGCGGCACAAUAGAUGCCAUCCAUGUUGCCUGCCUGUUGUUGGAGAAGCACCGAGAGAAGACCAAGACCAUCCAUAUGGCCUCCCUCGACCGGGAAAAGGCUUUCGACCGAGUCCCUCAUGACCUGAUCUGGCACUCUCUGCGAUCACACAGGGUCCCCGAGGCCUACGUCGAUUGGAUCAAGCUCUUGUACAGAAACGUGACCAGCACAGUCAGAAGCCCAGUGGGAACAUCACCACCUUUCAACAUCACCGUGGGCGUUCACCAAAGCUCUGCGCCGUCCCUGCUUCUCUUCAUCCUCUGCAUGGACACUGCGACCGCUGACCUCCAAGCUCCCCACCCUUGGACACUCCUCUAUCCUGACGAUGUCUUCCUCACAGAUGAAUCUCGAAUGGAGCUGCAACGCCAAACACAGCAAUGGAAGACACGCCUGAGUGAGUACGGGCUGAGGUUGAACACCAAAAAGACUGAAUACUGGCCCCCAAACUGACAGCACCAUCAGUGUCGAUGGAGAAGACCUGGCGAAGGUAUCUCACUUCAAGUACCUCGGAUCGAUGAUCAGCAACGACGGUGACAUCCUGCCAGAAGUGCGGCCUGGAUGAAGUGGCACCAAGUCACUGGUGUCCUGUGCGACCGACGAAUGGCUGACCGCCUCAAGUCGAAGAUCUACAAGACCGUAGUGCGCCCUGUGGCCAUUUACGGAUCAGAGUGUUGGCCGGCCACUGCAAAGCACAAACAAGCCCUUCAAACAAUGGAAAUGCGGAUGCUGCGAUGGUGCCUGGGCCUGACACAAUGGGACCACGUCACAAACAUCGACAUCCGAAAGCAGCUGGGCAUCGCACCAAUUACGGAGAAGAUGCAAAGAGCACAACUGCUGGGCACGUGGUCAGAAGUGACGAAAAAUUGGUGGCAAGAACAGCAAUGCGACUCAGCCCCCAAGGCCGGCGACCAAGGGGCAGACCAAAAAGGUGAUGGAUGGACCAAUUUAGAGAUGACAUGAAGAAGAUCGGCGCCAACCUGAA
This is a long non-coding RNA of Oreochromis niloticus (Nile tilapia), 3725 nucleotides long. RefSeq lists it as uncharacterized. Lineage: Eukaryota; Metazoa; Chordata; Actinopteri; Cichliformes; Cichlidae. The record is from RefSeq and is a predicted model, not a curated record. The transcript has 2 exons.